This 306-nucleotide long non-coding RNA is filed under the name Ricinus communis (castor bean). RNAcentral's name for it is "long non-coding RNA (RCOM_LNC000818)". The record is from RNAcentral. Lineage: Eukaryota; Viridiplantae; Streptophyta; Magnoliopsida; Malpighiales; Euphorbiaceae.
CUAUCACUGCAUAUCCUGUUGUUGCUCCUGCAGUUGGUCCUAGUGCAGCUGUAGCAGCACCUUAUGGGGGACCUGGUGGCCCAUAUCCACCACCCCCAAUGGCUGCAGGUUAUGCUUAUCCACCUCCACCAUCAUAUGCUGGAUACCCUCCACCUCCUCCUCCAGGUUAUGGCUAUCCACCACCGCCACCAGGUUAUGGAUACCCACCAGCACAACCAGGAUAUGGGUACCCACCGCCAGUACAGCAACAACAACCAAAGAAGAGCAAGUUUGGGUUGGGAUUGGGAGCUGGAUUGCUAGGAGGAG